GAGACAGGCAGAGGACAGGAAGCAGGUGGCUGUGAGGAGACAGCCCGGGCCUGUCCCCAAGCGGCCCCUCCAGAGUAGGAGGCAGACCUUCCCUGUCGGCCCAGGAGCCCCUUUCUCAGGGCAGAGGGUUCUGGUGAUGUUGAAGAGCUCCCCUCACUGCUGCCAGCAGUGUGCCGGGAUCGGCUGUGUGCCGGGAUCGGCUGUGUGCCGGGAUCGGCUGUGUGCCGGGAUCGGCUGUGUGCCGGGAUCGGCUGUGUGCCGGGAUCGGCUGUGUGCCGGGAUCGGCUGUGUGCCGGGAUCGGCUGUGUGCUGGGGUGGGCUGCCCACCUUUUACCUGCGCUCCCUCAUCUUAUCUUCCCUGCUGCCCUGGGAAGGGGUACUGCUGCCCCCCCAUGCUACAGGUGACAACACGAAGGGUCA
RNAcentral lists this long non-coding RNA (420 nucleotides) under Homo sapiens (human). Its description in RNAcentral is "LHRI_LNC338.1". Lineage: Eukaryota; Metazoa; Chordata; Mammalia; Primates; Hominidae. The record is from RNAcentral.